Molecule: ribosomal RNA, 438 nt
Filed under: uncultured bacterium
Lineage: Bacteria
Description: partial 16S ribosomal RNA
Rfam family: Bacterial small subunit ribosomal RNA
Source: RNAcentral
AACGAACGCUGGCGGCAUGCCUAACACAUGCAAGUCGAACGAGAACUUCGGGUCUAGUGGCGCACGGGUGCGUAACGCGUGGUAACCUACCCUUAGGUUAGGAAUAACUCCCCGAAAGGGAUGCUAAUACCAGAUAGUGUCAUCGGGCCAAAGAUUUGUCGCCUGGGGGUGGGCGCGCGUCUGUUUAGCUUGUUGGUGGGGUACAGGCUUACCAUGGCUACGAUGGGUAGCUGGUCUGAUAGGAUGGUCGGCCACGUUGGGACUGAGACACGGCCCAGCCUCCUACGGGAGGCAGCAGUGGGGAAUAGUGCACAAUGGGCGGAAGCCUGAUGCAGCAACGCCGCGUGCGGGAUGACGGCCUUCGGGUUGUAAACCGCUUUCGCCUGGGACGAAGCGAGAGUGACGGUAAUGGGUAAAGAAGCACCGGCUAACUACGUG